UACCAGCUCUCCGAGUGGUAGGGAUGAUUAUUGGGCUUAAAGCGUUCGUAGCCGGCUUAGCAAGUCUCCUGUUAGAUUCAGCGACCUAAUCGUUGAGCCGCGGGAGAUACUACUAGGCUAGGAGGCGGGAGAGGUCAACGGUACUUCCGGGGUAGGGGUGAAAUCCUAUAAUCCCGGGAGGACCACCAGUGGCGAAGGCUGUUGACUAGAACGCGCUCGACGGUGAGGGACGAAAGGCCGGGGGAGCGAACCGGAUUAGAUACCCGGGUAGUCCCAGCUGUAAACGAUGCGAGCUAGGUGUUGGGGUGGCUACGUGCCACUUCAGUGCCGCAGGGAAGCCAUUAAGCUCGCCGCCUGGGGAGUACGGCCGCAAGGCUAGAAAACUUAAAGGGAUUGGGCGGGGAGCACCACAAGGCGUGAAGCUUGCGGUUC
This 432-nucleotide ribosomal RNA is filed under the name uncultured archaeon. Its description in RNAcentral is "bacterial SSU rRNA". It matches the Rfam family "Archaeal small subunit ribosomal RNA", at positions 474 to 903 of the family's 1478-position model. The record is from RNAcentral.